UACGAGGGGGGCGAGCGUUGUUCGGAAUUAUUGGGCGUAAAGGGUGCGUAGGCGGUUUGGUAAGUCUUGUGUGAAAUCUUCGGGCUCAACUCGAAGUCUGCACGAGAAACUGCCGGGCUUGAGUUCGGGAGAGGUGAGUGGAACUGCGAGUGUAGAGGUGAAAUUCGUAGAUAUUCGCAAGAACACCAGUGGCGAAGGCGGCUCACUGGCCCGAUACUGACGCUGAGGCACGAAAGCGUGGGGAGCAAACAGG
Molecule: ribosomal RNA, 253 nt
Filed under: uncultured bacterium
Lineage: Bacteria
Description: partial 16S ribosomal RNA
Rfam family: Bacterial small subunit ribosomal RNA
Source: RNAcentral